Molecule: ribosomal RNA, 490 nt
Filed under: uncultured bacterium
Lineage: Bacteria
Description: partial 16S ribosomal RNA
Rfam family: Bacterial small subunit ribosomal RNA
Source: RNAcentral
AUUGAACGCUGGCGGCAGGCCUAACACAUGCAAGUCGAACGGUAACAGGAAGCAGCUUGCUGCUUCGCUGACGAGUGGCGGACGGGUGAGUAAUGUCUGGGAAACUGCCUGAUGGAGGGGGAUAACUACUGGAAACGGUAGCUAAUACCGCAUAACGUCGCAAGACCAAAGAGGGGGACCUUAGGGCCUCUUGCCAUCGGAUGUGCCCAGAUGGGAGUAGCUAGUAGGUGGGGUAACGGCUCACCUAGGCGACGAUCCCUAGCUGGUCUGAGAGGAUGACCAGCCACACUGGAACUGAGACACGGUCCAGACUCCUACGGGAGGCAGCAGUGGGGAAUAUUGCACAAUGGGCGCAAGCCUGAUGCAGCCAUGCCGCGUGUAUGAAGAAGGCCUUCGGGUUGUAAAGUACUUUCAGCGGGGAGGAAGGGAGUAAAGUUAAUACCUUUGCUCAUUGACGUUACCCGCAGAAGAAGCACCGGCUAACUCCGUG